GAGUUUGAUCUUGGCUCAGGAUGAACGCUGGCGGCGUGCCUAAUACAUGCAAGUCGAGCGAACAGAUAAGGAGCUUGCUCCUUUGAAGUUAGCGGCGGACGGGUGAGUAACACGUGGGUAACCUACCUAUAAGACUGGGGAUAACUUCGGGAAACCGGAGCUAAUACCGGAUAACAUUUAGAACCGCAUGGUUCUAAAGUGAAAGAUGGUUUUGCUAUCACUUAUAGAUGGACCCGCGCCGUAUUAGCUAGUUGGUAAGGUAACGGCUUACCAAGGCGACGAUACGUAGCCGACCUGAGAGGGUGAUCGGCCACACUGGAACUGAGACACGGUCCAGACUCCUACGGGAGGCAGCAGUAGGGAAUCUUCCGCAAUGGGCGAAAAGCCUGACGGAGCAAACGCCGCGUGAGUGAAGAAGUAUUUCGGUAUGUAAAAGCUCUAUCAGCAGGGAAGAAAAUGACGGUACUGAUUAAGAAGCCCGGCUAACUACGUGCCAGCCG
RNAcentral lists this ribosomal RNA (500 nucleotides) under uncultured microorganism. RNAcentral describes it as "bacterial SSU rRNA". It matches the Rfam family "Bacterial small subunit ribosomal RNA", at positions 9 to 514 of the family's 1533-position model. The record is from RNAcentral.